Molecule: unclassified non-coding RNA, 273 nt
Filed under: Glomeraceae sp.
Lineage: Eukaryota; Fungi; Glomeromycota; Glomeromycetes; Glomerales; Glomeraceae
Description: partial contains 5.8S ribosomal RNA and internal transcribed spacer 2
Rfam family: 5.8S ribosomal RNA (bases 1-65)
Source: RNAcentral
GUGAAUCAUCAAAUCUUUGAACGCAAAUUGCACUCUCCUCGGAGAGUAUGCCUGUUUGGGGGUCAGCCUAUAGAAAAUAGACAUCGUUGCUGUUUGGCGGUGGCGUUCGUCGGAAAGUCGGUCAUCUUAAAUUUUUUGGAUUUAAGAGACUUAAAAUUAUCUUUUUGGUUCCAUGAACGUUUCUAAGAUUUAUUUCUUUACACGUUUAAGGUAUCGAUUUUUAUUAGACGUGGCCAUCAUAUCUGAUCUCGCCGAUAAUCUUUCAUUAACUGA